Athene cunicularia (burrowing owl) is the source of this 1397-nucleotide long non-coding RNA. RefSeq lists it as uncharacterized. Lineage: Eukaryota; Metazoa; Chordata; Aves; Strigiformes; Strigidae. The record is from RefSeq and is a predicted model, not a curated record. The transcript is spliced from 3 exons.
CCGAGACCGCCCCCCGAGAGCCUGGCGCCCCGCCUGCCCUGACUUCUCGUUUCGUUUCCGGGCGCUUUGUUACCGAGGCCAGGCCACUCGAAGCGGGCUCCGAGAAAACUAUUGAUUGGGACAUUUUAAGUUAAGAUCUCAUUUAUUGCUGAUGGCCGAGUUUUCCGUGCAGUUCGUGGUGUUACUAAAAGCAUCGUACCUCGGGGAUGGCAGCACUGCAGCUAACACCACGAGACAUCUCUUGCUUGUUGGCACACGCCUGUGAGACCAUCGUAACGUUUUCUGUAUGUACUCCUGCUGUGUAAACGAAAACCCACACUAUGGCAAGCUAAACACUUGUUGAAAGACACACUUACCAGCAGUAUAAAAGAGAUGUGAUGAAGGCUGGAUUUAAGGUUUCUAUACCCUGGUGACAAGUGACAGCCCCGAGGUGUCCAGACUUGUUCUCUAGUGCCGCCUUCUGGCUGAUCCCUCCUAGAAAAGUAAGUCAACAGAUCCCUGAGCUAGGUGACAACAUAUAAAGGAUUAACUGGCUUUCCAGAAAGUGCAUGGAGAAUUCCUCCUGUAGCCUGACUCAAAUCAAAAAUACUGUGAGAACUGGAGUCCUGUCACCCCGGGUGGUGUGAGCCCCUCCAUCAUGCUCAGUCAGGGGGGCCCUUCUGCUGCGGUGCACGGGAAAUGGUUUUCUGUCCUGGACAGGUCUGUUCAAGCAGUGACUUGAGGAUUCAUUUCUGAGGUAUUUGUGAGGUGGUGUUCACUCUGUGAAACAUCGUUAUUUGUAUUUUGUCCAAAGCUGUGUUAGGUGAGAUAACGGGUCUGUAAACAACGUUGCAAGUAUCGCUCUGGUAAAGAGCAUCUAGUAGGUAUUAUGAUCUCCAAAAUAACACAAGUGGAAUUUUGUGAUCGAUAUCCUUUUCUAAAGGACGCAAGUUAUGCAAUCUACUCUUUAUGGUGGUAUCAGAAGAUUUGCGGCUUGGAAUAGCUUUAGGGGUAACGUGAGUGUGACCACUGCAUAGCUGAAACAAAAUCAGGAGAAAUAUUUCAGGGGCUGGGAUGUCAGGUCCAGUGCCAGCUUGGGACUAAAGGCCAGAGCCCUCAGCAAGGGAUUACGACCAUUUUGGAGUUGCCAUCCAUAGCAAAUCCUAUCCCUAUGAUCCUAAAGCAGAGCUAAAGCCCUGCCUAGGGGAAGGCGAGGCAGCAAAGCCUUCGACUUGAGACAGGGCACCCUCGCCUGGGAGCACAAUCAGAGCCCCAGCAGCCACGAGGCGGGAAGAGCAACCCCCGCCGCCUAACGGCAAAAAGCAGCGCCAAGGCGGCCGACGUGCGGGACGGCGACCCCCCUUUCUCAUUUCCCGAGGUGUUUCCGGGGCGGCCGCUCUCCGGCCGCCGAGCGCGGC